This 192-nucleotide ribosomal RNA is filed under the name uncultured Chitinophaga sp. Its description in RNAcentral is "partial 16S ribosomal RNA". It matches the Rfam family "Bacterial small subunit ribosomal RNA", at positions 338 to 527 of the family's 1533-position model. Lineage: Bacteria; Pseudomonadati; Bacteroidota; Chitinophagia; Chitinophagales; Chitinophagaceae. The record is from RNAcentral.
CCUACGGGAGGCAGCAGUAAGGAAUACUGGUCAAUGGACGCAAGUCUGAACCAGCCAUGCCGCGUGAAGGAUGAAGGUCCUCUGGAUUGUAAACUUCUUUUAUAUGGGAAGAAACCACUUUUAUCUAAAGGUGUUGACGGUACCAUAGGAAUAAGCACCGGCUAACUCCGUGCCAGCAGCCGCGGUAAUACG